RNAcentral lists this long non-coding RNA (1125 nucleotides) under Equus asinus (donkey). RNAcentral describes it as "lncRNA (ENSEASG00005024203.1)". The record is from RNAcentral. Lineage: Eukaryota; Metazoa; Chordata; Mammalia; Perissodactyla; Equidae.
CCGCACUCUGCUCAUCUCCCAUCUUCAAUAUCCAUCGUGGUCUCUCCCCGGGCCCUGGGAGCCAGCAGCAUCUGCCCUUGCCUGUGGACUGCAUCCCGCCUGUGUCUUUGUAAUGAGGAGUUUUCGGUACACAAUAGGAACUAGUCAACACACCAACAUCCUGAAGUUUUCCCGCCUGACGGGGAUUCUUUGCUCGAUCAGUCUUUAGUCAUGCUCCCAAACCUUCUUCUAGGCCCGUCUGUGCACUUCCUUGUAAGAUCCAGUUUUAACAAGAACUGUGACUACAUCUCUCCUCGAAAAGUGUUUGUCAGACAAAGAAAAUUACAGAAAACCAAAUUAUUGGGUGGGCAACCAACGUUUUAAGAAAUGAAUUAGGAUAGAAGAGAAAUAUCAGAGAGUAUUGAGAAGGUAAGUAUUGCUUUGUGACCCUUUCAUUUCAAUUGUGUGUGUGUUUGUCCUAACAACGGUACCAAGAAUGUCUGAAAGUCAUUCUCCUGGAAGCUUCCUGGCUCAUUCUCACUGCUCCCCACAACCUGCUUUGGGAUGGGUGUUCCCCCGGCUCCUUAGCCCUCCCACCGCGGCCACACCGGACUGUACCUGCUGGGGUCCUCAUCUGUUCCCCAAACUGACUGCCAGUUUCCAGGGGGCAGAAAUGUAUGUCUCGUCUGCUUCUCUUCCUCCAGCACUUGGACCUAUGUGCUCAGGAAACAGACGUUGAAUGAAGGAAUGUCCAGAGCACAACAGAAGUUCAGAAUGGACAGGAUGAGAUGGAACGUGUAACACUUUAAAAGUUACCACCUUUUUAACAGGAUUAAAGGCUUAAGUCUAAGGAAUGACAAUGUAGAGAUUUGGGCAUCGCUGGGUGGCUCCGCAGACUCUGAUGGAGGGGACCCCUCCCUGGGCGGGGACAGAUGCCAGCCCCGCACAGAGACCAGGGGUUCUGCCGCUCGCCCCCCAGGGUCUCAGGGCAGGAUCUGAGCACUUCCCUGCUGGCAAAGGGAGAUGGAAACUGCAGUUUGGGAAGAUAGCAGAAAGGGAAGGCAGAGUGUUUUAAUUAAACAAGAAUAGAAAAUGUACGAAAAAUAUCUCCUCGACACAAUCUCAUGAGAGCAGGAGUGCUGCCCG